RNAcentral lists this ribosomal RNA (348 nucleotides) under Enterococcus casseliflavus. RNAcentral describes it as "bacterial SSU rRNA". It matches the Rfam family "Bacterial small subunit ribosomal RNA", at positions 96 to 437 of the family's 1533-position model. The record is from RNAcentral. Lineage: Bacteria; Bacillati; Bacillota; Bacilli; Lactobacillales; Enterococcaceae.
UGGCGAACGGGUGAGUAACACGUGGGUAACCUGCCCAUCAGAAGGGGAUAACACUUGGAAACAGGUGCUAAUACCGUAUAACACUAUUUUCCGCAUGGAAGAAAGUUGAAAGGCGCUUUUGCGUCACUGAUGGAUGGACCCGCGGUGCAUUAGCUAGUUGGUGAGGUAACGGCUCACCAAGGCAACGAUGCAUAGCCGACCUGAGAGGGUGAUCGGCCACACUGGGACUGAGACACGGCCCAGACUCCUACGGGAGGCAGCAGUAGGGAAUCUUCGGCAAUGGACGAAAGUCUGACCGAGCAAACGCCGCGUGAGUGAAGAAGGUUUUCGGAUCGUAAAAACUCUGUU